Molecule: unclassified non-coding RNA, 259 nt
Filed under: uncultured fungus
Lineage: Eukaryota; Fungi
Description: sequence contains ITS2
Source: RNAcentral
AACGCACAUUGCGCCCAUUAGUAUUCUAGUGGGCAUGCCUGUUCGAGCGUCAUUUCAACCCUUAAGCCUAGCUUAGUGUUGGGAGACUGCCUAAUACGCAGCUCCUCAAAACCAGUGGCAGAGUUUUUACGUACUCUGAGCGCAGUAGUUCUAUUCUCGCUUUUGAACACGUCUAGACGAUAGCCAUAAAUCGCUUGCCUCGUGCAGCACUAUUUUAAUGGUUGACCUCGGAUCAGGUAGGAAUACCCGCUGAACUUAA